Molecule: transfer RNA, 72 nt
Filed under: Marmota monax (woodchuck)
Lineage: Eukaryota; Metazoa; Chordata; Mammalia; Rodentia; Sciuridae
Rfam family: tRNA
About the family: Transfer RNA (tRNA) molecules are approximately 80 nucleotides in length. Their secondary structure includes four short double-helical elements and three loops (D, anti-codon, and T loops).
Source: Rfam by way of RNAcentral
AGUUGUGUGGCUCAGUGGUACAGCGCUCGCCUCGCACGUGUCAGACCCUGGGUUCAAUCCUCAGCACCACAU